RNAcentral lists this long non-coding RNA (342 nucleotides) under Brassica rapa (field mustard). RNAcentral describes it as "long non-coding RNA (BRAP_LNC003111)". Lineage: Eukaryota; Viridiplantae; Streptophyta; Magnoliopsida; Brassicales; Brassicaceae. The record is from RNAcentral.
UUUAUAUGAAUCAUGAGUCGAUAUAAGUGGAAAAGAGAACUUGUUGUUGCCAAAAAAUGUAAAUGAGACCACACAUGCUAUGUCCACAACCACAAUGUAAAAGAUUCCCCUCAAAACUCCGCAGUAAGAAAAGAGAUCUACAGAACUUCAGUUUUUUUUUCCGAAUAAUGCCGCUUAAAUACUAAUAAGUUCAUUUUUUUGUCUUUUUUUUGUUUUUACUUUUAUCAAUAAUUUCUUAAUUUUCUUAAAAUUAGAUUUUAGCUUAUUAUAGGUACGUGUUGAAAUAUCAAACUUAUUAAAAUUCGCGCUAUAAUUGUAUUUUAUGGAUUAGGGAAAGUUAAC